RNAcentral lists this ribosomal RNA (253 nucleotides) under uncultured bacterium. RNAcentral's name for it is "partial 16S ribosomal RNA". It matches the Rfam family "Bacterial small subunit ribosomal RNA", at positions 524 to 776 of the family's 1533-position model. The record is from RNAcentral.
UACGAAGGGGGCUAGCGUUGCUCGGAAUCACUGGGCGUAAAGGGUGCGUAGGCGGGUCUUUACGUCCGGGGUGAAAUCCUGGAGCUCAACUCCAGAACUGCCUUUGAUACUGGCGAUCUUGAGUCCGGGAGAGGUGAGUGGAACUGCGAGUGUAGAGGUGAAAUUCGUAGAUAUUCGCAAGAACACCAGUGGCGAAGGCGGCUCACUGGCCCGGUACUGACGCUGAGGUGCGAAAGCGUGGGGAGCAAACAGG